RNAcentral lists this ribosomal RNA (253 nucleotides) under uncultured bacterium. RNAcentral's name for it is "partial 16S ribosomal RNA". It matches the Rfam family "Bacterial small subunit ribosomal RNA", at positions 524 to 776 of the family's 1533-position model. The record is from RNAcentral.
UACGGGGGGGGCAAGCGUUGUUCGGAAUUACUGGGCGUAAAGGGCUCGUAGGCGGCCAACUAAGUCAGACGUGAAAUCCCUCGGCUUAACCGGGGAACUGCAUCUGAUACUGGAUGGCUUGAGUUCGGGAGAGGGAUGUGGAAUUCCAGGUGUAGCGGUGAAAUGCGUAGAUAUCUGGAGGAACACCGGUGGCGAAGGCGGCAUCCUGGACCGGUAUUGACGCUGAUGCGCGAAAGCCAGGGGAGCAAACGGG